CCUACGGGAGGCAGCAGUGAGGAAUAUUGGUCAAUGGACGCAAGUCUGAACCAGCCAUGCCGCGUGCAGGAAGACGGCCCUAUGAGUUGUAAACUGCUUUUGUACGAGGGUAAACGCAGAUACGCGUAUCUGUCUGAAAGUAUCGUACGAAUAAGGAUCGGCUAACUCCGUGCCAGCAGCCGCGGUAAUACGGAGGAUUCAAGCGUUAUCCGGAUUUAUUGGGUGUAAAGGGUGCGUAGGCGGUCGGAUAAGUUAGCGGUGAAAUCCCGAGGCUCAACUUCGGAAUUGCCUCUGAUACUGUUCGGCUAGAGAGUAGGUGAGGUAGGCGGAAUGUAUGGUGUAGCGGUGAAAUGCUUAGAGAUCAUACAGAACACCGAUUGCGAAGGCAGCUUACC
This 395-nucleotide ribosomal RNA is filed under the name uncultured bacterium. RNAcentral's name for it is "partial 16S ribosomal RNA". It matches the Rfam family "Bacterial small subunit ribosomal RNA", at positions 338 to 730 of the family's 1533-position model. The record is from RNAcentral.